RNAcentral lists this ribosomal RNA (119 nucleotides) under Saimiri boliviensis boliviensis (Bolivian squirrel monkey). The record is from RNAcentral. Lineage: Eukaryota; Metazoa; Chordata; Mammalia; Primates; Cebidae.
GUCUAUGGCCAUACCAUCCUGAACACGCCGUAUCUCGUUUGAUCUCAGAAGCUAAGCAGGGUCAAGCCUGGUUAGGACUUGGAUGGGAGAGCACCUGGGAAUACCAGGUGCUGUAGGCU